AGGUAGAUGAUAUUUCAGAACAAAAUUCGUAAACCUGACCGUUUCUGCGCCUUAGCCGUUGCCGUUGCCGGAGAGCGUUGCGCUGCAAUCUUUUGAACUAAUUCUUCAACUAUGCUUCUGUUUUUUUUUGCUCCUCCUUCCUAGGUUCUUCGUGACCUUUGUUGAUUUGUGCAAAGUGUAGUGACUCGUAAGAUGAGGUUCUGAAAUGGAGGUGCUCUGAGGCUGUGCUGCUUGGAUUCAAAUCAUUCUGCUCCUUUGCAUUCCACCACUGCAACGUGCACGGGCUCUACUCCUCCGGUUCUGAAAAGGAGGAAGAGGUACAGGAGAGAGCAAAGGCAUUACUGAGGAGUUGAGGUUCGUCGGUAUGAGGCUUCGGAAUGUUAAUGGGGAAAAGUUAUCUGGUGAUACUGGGGAUUCAUCAAGUGAAGAUGGAGUAGAGGAGAAAGAUGACGGAAAUUUGGUGUUGAGCGAUGAUGAUUAUGAUGAGAGCGGGGAUGGUAUAGAGACUUGGCAACCGAGCUUGAAAAGAUGUCUUAAAUAUUUGGCUGAUAGUAAGUUCAUAUUCAGCACUGUGGAGAAAAUCAUUGAUGAACCUAAGCAACGUUGCUUGCUCUUGGUUCUUGGUUAAGGCCGUAAUCUCUUGGAGCGACCUCUAUGGUUCUUCCACUCCUUUCGAUGGGAAGAAACCAAUGACUUUUUUAAGAUUGUAUUUAGCUAUGGUCUAAAAUUGGUGCACAUUAAGCAAGGAAUAGUUACUUCAGAAAAUCAGGGUUGGAACAUUCAGAAUAUCUUGCAAAGGAUCUAAAAUGGUUCAGUGAACAGGGUAUUGUGAUACCCGAACCGAGCAGUCCAGGAGUUCCUUAUGCUGAGUAUCUGGAGGAACUUGCUGAGAGGAGUGCCCUUUUGUUACUUUUCCAUUACUAUAAUAUAUACUUUUCACAUAUAGCAGGUGGCAACAGGUAUGUGAAGUUGCUUUCACAAUGUGAUGCUACUGUGAUCUGAGAUAACAAAGUAUUUAUUGUAUUACCUCUUCUCUUAGAACUUUUUAUUCAAAGAUGAGUAGCAGCCUUUCUCCAAGGAAAGGAGGUGCCUCUGUCUGUGAUCUGAGAUAACAAAGUAUUUAUUGCAUUACCUCUUCUCUUAGAACUUUUUAUUCAAAGAUGAGUAGCAGCCUUUCUCCAAGGAAAAGAGGUGCCUCUGUCUGUGAUGUGCUAUAUGAGUCAUGAGUUAUAAACCAAUCCUUUGGCAUUCUUUAUAUCAUAAAUAGUGAUUGAGUUGUGGCUUCCUUCAUGCACGAGACGCCAGAAAAGAAAUAAUUUAUCCUAAAACUUGUUACGUAAAAUUUUAAAAACAUGUAUGAUGUAAUUGCCUGUUAUAGCUGAUAAAAAAUUUGUUAUGAUUUAUAUUCUUUUUCCGAAGGAUUCUGAUAGACUCGUUGAAGGUAGAAAGCUUGAAUUUUAUACAUGGGCAGGGGACGUAGAAGAACUGCUGAAAGUGCUCGUGAGAAGCUUAACAUGCUUGGAGAGCUAUGUGGAUGCUAAUGCAGCACUGAUCUCGAGAUGAGAAAAAUAAAUGCUCGAGAGAAGCAACCUAGUCAUUCCGCAUUUUGGGAAAGAUAGUUCGUUUGUUUAUCAUAUGAUCAGCUAUUUUAAGUGAUAUGAUUUUGAAGGUGCUCCCGGCACAAGACUAGAAUAUCAAGGGGCCAACAAACUGGGGUAGGGCUUGACAAUGCUCAGAAAAUGGUUCUCUUUCAAUCGAUCAAAGUUGCGAUGAAUCUACAGGGCUGCGCUCAUUCAGAGGUUUUGAUACUCUGAUUGGAAAUGAAAAAGAGCAGUGAUUUUGGACAGUGGUGGCUGCUGAAGGCAUGGAGCCAGUGACCUUCCCCAACUUGAGGAGCUAACCCCAUUAUUUUCAACAUUCCAUCAAAUGCCAUCAGAUAUGCAGAUAUGAAAUUUGGCACAAUGAUCGGGACAAUUUCUAGAACUCUUACCAUACAUACUUCAUUUGUUCACACUAUGAAUUAUGUUUUUAUGCUAUUGAACUCCAUACUGUUGUAGUGUUGAUGAUUUUGUAGGAAGGGAAGGGAUGGGAAGGGGGAGAAGUAAAUGGAAGCACGUGAAGGUAAGCAUUAAUGGAGGUAGCAGUAGUGAGGUUCUGUUUAGUCAAAGAUGGGUUUGGUAGCAGAAAGGUUGGUUUGUGUGAGUGUGGCUUAGUAGUGGGUUUGGCACUUAGGGUUGCUUUCCUUAUUCCAAAAUAGAAAAACGACUCUAUUUGGAUGCAACUCUGCAUAUUCUUUGCAAAUGAAUCAUUCUAGAAUGUAACUUCCUUUUUCUGCAUGGAACAUGCAGAGUUGCUAAUGGAGGACGGAGAAUUUUUUGCCCUUUCACAAUAAUGCAAAUAACUCUGCUC
Cucurbita moschata (crookneck pumpkin) is the source of this 2409-nucleotide RNA transcript. It is a transcript of the gene named probable inactive heme oxygenase 2, chloroplastic, with no coding region annotated. NCBI's taxonomy places the organism in Eukaryota, Viridiplantae, Streptophyta, Magnoliopsida, Cucurbitales, Cucurbitaceae. The transcript is spliced from 7 exons. The record is from RefSeq and is a predicted model, not a curated record.